GCAAUGGUAGUAUAAUUAAGUAUUUUUGUUUUCCAAACAAACGGUUUCUGUAAGAAUUAUUGUA
RNAcentral lists this transfer RNA (64 nucleotides) under Meretrix lyrata. Its description in RNAcentral is "tRNA-Gly". The record is from RNAcentral. Lineage: Eukaryota; Metazoa; Mollusca; Bivalvia; Venerida; Veneridae.